This 256-nucleotide ribosomal RNA is filed under the name uncultured bacterium. RNAcentral describes it as "partial 16S ribosomal RNA". It matches the Rfam family "Bacterial small subunit ribosomal RNA", at positions 524 to 776 of the family's 1533-position model. The record is from RNAcentral.
UACGUAGGGUGCGAGCGUUAAUCGGAAUUACUGGGCGUAAAGCGUGCGCAGGCGGUUCGUUGUGUCGGCGGUGAAAGCCCCGGGCUUAACCUGGGAAUGGCCGUUGAAACUGGCGAACUGGAGUGUGGCAGAGGGGGGGGUGGAAUUCCGCGUGUAGCAGUGAAAUGCGUAGAGAUGCGGAGGAACACCGAUGGCGAAGGCAGCCCCCCUGGGCUAACACUGACGCUCAGGCACGAAAGCGUGGGGAGCAAACAGG